CUGACACUGAGGAACGAAAGCAUGGGUAGCGAAGAGGAUUAGAUACCCUCGUAGUCCAUGCCGUAAACGAUGUGUGUUAGACGUUGGAAAUUUAUUUUCAGUGUCGCAGCGAAAGCAAUAAACACACCGCCUGGGGAGUACGACCGCAAGGUUAAAACUCAAAUGAAUUGACGGGGACCCGCACAAGUAGUGGAGCAUGUGGUUUAAUUCGAAGAUACGCGCAGAACCUUACCAACACUUGACAUGUUCGUCGCGACUUUAAGAGAUUAAAGUUUUCGGUUCGGCCGGACGAAACACAGGUGCUGCAUGGCUGUCGUCAGCUCGUGUCGUGAGAUGUUGGGUUAAGUCCCGCAACGAGCGCAACCCUCACUUUUAGUUGCCAUCAUUUAGUUGGGCACUCUGAAAGAACUGCCAGUGAUAAGCUGGAGGAAGGUGGGGAUGACGUCAAGUCCUCAUGGCCCUUACGUGUUGGGCUACACACGUGCUACAAUGGCAUUUACAACAGGAAGCAAAACGGCGACGUUAAGCAAAUCCUAAAAAAAUGCCUCAGUUCGGAUUGUACUCUGCAACUCGAGUACAUGAAGCUGGAAUUACUAGUAAUCGCGGAUCAGCGCGCCGCGGUGAAUACGUUCCCGGGUCUUGUACACACCGCCCGUCACACCAUGGGAGUUGGUUCUACCUUAAGGCAAAGGUUAAAAACUUUGACCACGGUAUAGUCAGCGACUGGGGUGAAGUCGUAACAAGGUAACCGUA
RNAcentral lists this ribosomal RNA (753 nucleotides) under uncultured bacterium. RNAcentral describes it as "bacterial SSU rRNA". It matches the Rfam family "Bacterial small subunit ribosomal RNA", at positions 740 to 1504 of the family's 1533-position model. The record is from RNAcentral.